Molecule: long non-coding RNA, 698 nt
Organism: Culicoides brevitarsis
Lineage: Eukaryota; Metazoa; Arthropoda; Insecta; Diptera; Ceratopogonidae
Exons: 3
Source: RefSeq, a predicted model, not a curated record
UUUAAUCUUAACUUUUUCUUUCAAAAAUAUUUGUUAAAUCAAUUAUUUACAGAUAUAUAUUUAAUAAAUAAAAAAAAUAAGUAGGAUUCAGUAAUAAUGAUUCAGUAUCACAGAAUUCAAAACAAUUUUAAUUUCAUUCAUAAAACGUUAUCAAAAAGUAUCGUAAAUCAAGAAAAAUCAACUAAGUAUGCGUUUUGUUUAAAAACAGAGAACAGGAAGUUGAAAACAAAAUCAAAACUAUUGAACAAAACAUUACAAAAUGAUAGCAUCACAAAAUUGUAUUGCGGCAUUGGCUAUCGAAUAAAGGAAAUACAACAACUGGAGAUAUUACUUUCUAUUCAUUGUACGGUUCUUAAAAUUAAAAAUAAUGCAAUUCACGUAAGACUUACAUUUCAAAGGGAUGCAUUUAUUGAUUUAUCGUAUGAUGUAGAUCAUGGAAUACUUUCACUUAAAGAUAUGACUCCAAAACACAGAAAUUUUAAACAUAUUUCAAAGUUUUUUGAUGAUACUCAAGACAUUCAAGGACUCAUUUACCAUGCAAAGAAAUUUAUAUCGAAAACCGAAUCAAUAACAAACAUGGAAAUAAAACUACAAAAGAUGUAAUUGACUUUGAUUUUGAAUUUUAUUUCAAACUAAUUUUCCCAUACUAACAAUUCUUUAAAGUAUUGAUGUUAUUGAUUGAAAAUAAAAAGAGAGAA